GCAGUGGGGAAUAUUGCACAAUGGGCGCAAGCCUGAUGCAGCCAUGCCGCGUGUAUGAAGAAGGCCUUCGGGUUGUAAAGUACUUUCAGCGGGGAAGAAGGCGUUGAGGUUAAUAACCUCAGCGAUUGACGUUACCCGCAGAAGAAGCACCGGCUAACUCCGUGCCAGCAGCCGCGGUAAUACGGAGGGUGCAAGCGUUAAUCGGAAUUACUGG
RNAcentral lists this ribosomal RNA (214 nucleotides) under Enterobacter roggenkampii. Its description in RNAcentral is "partial 16S ribosomal RNA". It matches the Rfam family "Bacterial small subunit ribosomal RNA", at positions 351 to 557 of the family's 1533-position model. Lineage: Bacteria; Pseudomonadati; Pseudomonadota; Gammaproteobacteria; Enterobacterales; Enterobacteriaceae. The record is from RNAcentral.